This 814-nucleotide ribosomal RNA is filed under the name uncultured Actinomycetes bacterium. RNAcentral describes it as "bacterial SSU rRNA". It matches the Rfam family "Bacterial small subunit ribosomal RNA", at positions 335 to 1167 of the family's 1533-position model. Lineage: Bacteria; Bacillati; Actinomycetota; Actinomycetes. The record is from RNAcentral.
ACUCCUACGGGAGGCAGCAGUGGGGAUUCUUGCACAAUGGGCGAAAGCCUGAUGCAGCAACGCCGCGUGAGGGACGAAGGCUUUCGAGUUGUAAACCUCUUUCAGCAGGGACGAUUGUGACGGUACCUGCAGAAGAAGCCCCGGCCAACUACGUGCCAGCAGCCGCGGUAAUACGUAGGGGGCAAGCGUUGUCCGGAUUUAUUGGGCGUAAAGAGCUCGUAGGCGGCUUGGCAAGUCGGAUGUGAAACCUCCAGGCUCAACCUGGAGUCGCCAUUCGAUACUGCCAGGCUAGAGUUUGGUAGGGGACCACGGAAUUCCUGGUGUAGCGGUGAAAUGCGCAGAUAUCAGGAGGAACACCAGCGGCGAAGGCGGUGGUCUGGGCCAAUACUGACGCUGAGGAGCGAAAGCGUGGGGAGCGAACAGGAUUAGAUACCCUGGUAGUCCACGCCGUAAACGUUGGGCACUAGGUGUGGGGACCUAUCGACGGUUUCUGUGCCGCAGCUAACGCAUUAAGUGCCCCGCCUGGGGAGUACGGCCGCAAGGCUAGAACUCAAAGGAAUUGACGGGGGCCCGCACAAGCGGCGGAGCAUGUGGCUUAAUUCGAUGCAACGCGAAGAACCUUACCUGGGUUUGACAUUUAGGGAAAAGCCGUAGAGAUACGGUGUCCUUCGGGGUCCUAAACAGGUGGUGCAUGGCUGUCGUCAGCUCGUGUCGUGAGAUGUUGGGUUAAGUCCCGCAACGAGCGCAACCCUUAUUCUAUGUUGCCAGCGCGUAAUGGCGGGGACUCGUAGGAGACUGCCGGGGUCAACUCGGA